This 450-nucleotide ribosomal RNA is filed under the name uncultured bacterium. RNAcentral describes it as "partial 16S ribosomal RNA". It matches the Rfam family "Bacterial small subunit ribosomal RNA", at positions 354 to 796 of the family's 1533-position model. The record is from RNAcentral.
GUGGGGAAUAUUCCGCAAUGGACGAAAGUCUGACGGAGCAACGCCGCGUGAGUGAUGAAGGUUUUCGGACUGUAAAGCUCUGUUGUUUAGGACGAAAGUGCCUGUUGCGAAUAGUUACAGGUAUUGACGGUACUAAACGAGGAAGCCACGGCUAACUACGUGCCAGCAGUCGCGGUAAUACGUAGGUGGCAAGCGUUGUCCGGAAUUAUUGGGCGUAAAGAGCAUGUAGGCGGGAAUCUAAGUCUGUUGUUAAAAUGCGGGGCUCAACCCCGUAUUGCGAUGGAAACUGGGUUUCUUGAGUGCAGGAGAGGAAAGGGGAAUUCCCAGUGUAGCGGUGAAAUGCGUAGAUAUUGGGAGGAACACCAGUGGCGAAGGCGCCUUUCUGGACUGUGUCUGACGCUGAGAUGCGAAAGCCAGGGUAGCGAACGGGAUUAGAUACCCGUGUAGUCC